Molecule: ribosomal RNA, 475 nt
Filed under: uncultured bacterium
Lineage: Bacteria
Description: SSU rRNA
Rfam family: Bacterial small subunit ribosomal RNA
Source: RNAcentral
AGGACGAACGCUGGCGGCGUGCUUAACACAUGCAAGUCGAACGGAAAGGCCCGCUUGCGGGUACUCGAGUGGCGAACGGGUGAGUAACACGUGGGCAACCUGCCCUCAGCUUCGGGAUAACACUUGGAAACAGGUGCUAAUACCGGAUAAUAACCUUUCAUCGCAUGGUGUGGGGUUCAAAGUUUUUCGGCUGGGGAUGGGCCCGCGGCCUAUCAGCUUGUUGGUGGGGUAAUGGCCUACCAAGGCGACGACGGGUAGCCGGCCUGAGAGGGCGACCGGCCACACUGGGACUGAGACACGGCCCAGACUCCUACGGGAGGCAGCAGUGGGAAUAUUGCGCAAUGGGCGGAAGCCUGACGCAGCGACGCCGCGUGAGGGAUGACGGCCUUCGGGUUGUAAACCUCUUUCAGCUCUGACGAAGCGCAAGUGACGGUAGGAGCAGAAGAGCACCGGCCAACUACGCGCCAGCAGCCGC